GGGGCAACAGGGCCAUAGAUUUCCAAAGAGAAUGGGCAAUUUAUAGGUAGUUGAGAAAGAGCAGAACACACAGGGCAGGCAAAUUCUUGCUAGGCAUCCACACAAACAUCAUGCAGCCAAAGAGUAAGUUGGGAUCAUAGUACUGGUCUGGUGUUAUCUCAUUGGACAUAAUUUACCACUGGCCAGCCUCCAAAUUCCCACACAGAA
RNAcentral lists this small nucleolar RNA (207 nucleotides) under Myotis davidii. Its description in RNAcentral is "Small nucleolar RNA SNORA23". It matches the Rfam family "Small nucleolar RNA SNORA23". From Rfam's summary of the family: The members of this family belong to the H/ACA class of snoRNAs which are thought to guide the sites of modification of uridines to pseudouridines. The record is from Rfam by way of RNAcentral. Lineage: Eukaryota; Metazoa; Chordata; Mammalia; Chiroptera; Vespertilionidae.